Molecule: long non-coding RNA, 903 nt
Organism: Armigeres subalbatus
Lineage: Eukaryota; Metazoa; Arthropoda; Insecta; Diptera; Culicidae
Exons: 2
Source: RefSeq, a predicted model, not a curated record
GCUCAGUGCGGGGUUUAGUCAGGAACUAAUAACCGGGACAUGACACUAGGAUUUUUUUCGUGUUGCGCUUGAAGUCUCCAUCGGUGUGUAGAGUUCUAGGUAUACAGUUGAAAAGACACUAAGUCACACGCUAUAAUCUGUCAACUUUUGAGCAUAUCUUUUUCACCGUGCAUAACUGACAAAUGAAUUUGUUUUUGUUUUUCUCGACCUUUGUCAAACAAAAGUUGUUUUUCUUUUCCGUUUUUCAUUAAUUAAAUUAUUUUGGUUUGCGUUUUUAAUUUUAUUGAACACCUACGACAAUCUGUUAAUUUACACUAUGCAAAAGGAAAAAGUGUUGGAAAUUUACAGCCAUCUCCUCACGGCGUAUGUCCGACUUUCCCGCUUCACUUCCAUUGGCAGCUUAUUCCAACACGAUGGUCCAUACACUAGCACACUUUUCCUGCUAGAUGUACUAGAGAUGUUGAAACCUCUUGUGCUUUCCAGCUGCGAUCGUAUACGGGUAGUGUUCCGUCGAUAGGAUUUUUCAUAAAGCCACAAAUCCGGAAUCGGUAUAGUUGUGCGGUAGAUCGUGCCCAAGAAUUUCUUUCCGUUAUGCUGCAGUCGUGUCUCGAUGACGAAGGCGGAGGAUGAAACGGAUAGCUGACGAUGGAGGUGCUCUUUGAGCGCAGCAGACAGACCCGGGUAGUAUACAUUACAUAGCAGCAGGUGAAGAAUGGCACUACAGUCGAAUUUCGUUUGUUGGGCUAUCUUUAAGUGGGCUUCGUUAAAACUGGGCUCCCGUUAGUUGGGCUACAGCCCACUUACAUCGAAGUCAAACGUCUUUUUUGACAGUGUCAAAUUUCUGUCAAGGGGUUCGGGGAUGUACAACUUGAAUAGCCAAAUAAAAAUUAAAACAAUUUGAAA